Molecule: ribosomal RNA, 421 nt
Filed under: uncultured bacterium
Lineage: Bacteria
Description: partial 16S ribosomal RNA
Rfam family: Bacterial small subunit ribosomal RNA
Source: RNAcentral
AAUAUUGGACAAUGGGGGCAACCCUGAUCCAGCCAUGCCGCGUGUGUGAAGAAGGUCUUCGGAUUGUAAUGCACUUUAAGUUGGGAGGAAGGGCUUUAGGUUAUUACCUUGACGUUUUGACGUUCCUAACAGAAUAAUCACCGUCUAUCUCUGUGCCAGCAGCCGCGGUAAUACAGAGGGUGAAAGCGUUAAUCGGAAUUACUGGGCGUAAAGCGCGCGUAGGUGGUUCAGUAAGAUGGGUGUGAAAUCCCCGGGCUUAACCUGGGAACUGCUUUCAUAACUGCUGAGCUAGAGUACGGUAGAGGGUAGUGGAAUUUCCUGUGUAGCGGUGAAAUGCGUAGAUAUAGGAAGGAACACCAGUGGCGAAGGCGACUACCUGGACUGAUACUGACACUGAGGUGCGAAAGCGUGGGGAGCAAAC